This is a long non-coding RNA of Etheostoma spectabile (orangethroat darter), 157 nucleotides long. RefSeq lists it as uncharacterized. NCBI's taxonomy places the organism in Eukaryota, Metazoa, Chordata, Actinopteri, Perciformes, Percidae. The record is from RefSeq and is a predicted model, not a curated record. The transcript has 3 exons.
AGCCAAGAAUGUUUAAUCUAAUUCAAGCUAUAUUGCGUAGAUAUUCUGUCUCCCCCACGAGGAAGUCAAAGUAAUGACAACAACACUGUCAGCGCGUCCACAUGAUACGAGGCUUCCAUGACCGAGCGCACACCUAGUAGCCAAGGAGGACACGGAG